AUUGAACGCUGGCGGCAUGCUUUACACAUGCAAGUCGAACGGUAACAGGCCGCAAGGUGCUGACGAGUGGCGAACGGGUGAGUAAUGCAUCGGAACGUGCCCAGUCGUGGGGGAUAACUACUCGAAAGAGUAGCUAAUACCUCAUACGAUCUAUGGAUGAAAGCGGGGGACCGUAAGGCCUCGCGCGAUUGGAGCGGCCGAUGUCAGAUUAGUUAGUUGGUGGGGUAAAGGCUCACCAAGCCAACGAUCUGUAGCUGGUCUGAGAGGACGACCAGCCACACUGGGACUGAGACACGGCCCAGACUCCUACGGGAGGCAGCAGUGGGGAAUUUUGGACAAUGGGCGCAAGCCUGAUCCAGCAAUGCCGCGUGCAGGAAGAAGGCCUUCGGGUUGUAAACUGCUUUUGUACGGAACGAAACGGCUCUGGUUAAUACCCGGGGCUAAUGACGGUACCGUAAGAAUAAGCACCGGCUAACUACGUG
This 482-nucleotide ribosomal RNA is filed under the name uncultured bacterium. RNAcentral's name for it is "partial 16S ribosomal RNA". It matches the Rfam family "Bacterial small subunit ribosomal RNA", at positions 30 to 507 of the family's 1533-position model. The record is from RNAcentral.